Molecule: transfer RNA, 75 nt
Filed under: Nakamurella silvestris
Lineage: Bacteria; Bacillati; Actinomycetota; Actinomycetes; Nakamurellales; Nakamurellaceae
Also listed under: 2 other names
Description: tRNA-Val
Rfam family: tRNA
About the family: Transfer RNA (tRNA) molecules are approximately 80 nucleotides in length. Their secondary structure includes four short double-helical elements and three loops (D, anti-codon, and T loops).
Source: RNAcentral
GGGUGAUUAGCUCAGCGGGAGAGCACUUCCCUGACACGGAAGGGGUCACUGGUUCAAUCCCAGUAUCGCCCACCA